AUUGAACGCUGGCGGCAGGCCUAACACAUGCAAGUCGAGCGGAGCGGCGGACGGGCGAGUAAUGCCUAGGACUGUGCCCGUUCGUGGGGGAUAACGUCCGGAAACGGGCGCUAAUACCGCAUACUAUCAGAUGCGACUAGGUCGGAUUAGCUAGUAGGUGGUGUAAUGGCUCACCUGGGCGACGCUCCCUAGCUGGUCUGAGAGGAUGACGAGCCACACUGAAACUGGGACACGGUGCAGACUCCUACGGGAGGCAGCAGUGGGAAAUAUUGCACAAUGGGCGCAAGCCUGAUGCAGCCAUGCCGCGUGUGUGAAGAAGGCCUUAGGGUUGUAAAGCACUUACAGCGGGGAGGCGUUGCCCGCAGAAGAAGCACCGGCUAACUCCGUGCCAGCAGCCGCGGUAAUAC
RNAcentral lists this ribosomal RNA (407 nucleotides) under uncultured bacterium. RNAcentral's name for it is "partial 16S ribosomal RNA". It matches the Rfam family "Bacterial small subunit ribosomal RNA", at positions 30 to 526 of the family's 1533-position model. The record is from RNAcentral.